CCCACUUCUUGGCCUUUUGGCUAAGAUCAAGUGUAGUACCAUUAAUUAAUUCAGUAAAACAAAUAUUAGUCAGUUAUGAUGAAUAAGCUCAAGAGUUUUCGAAGACAGGCGUCUUUUUGUGGCUAUCUCUCUCUCGGCAUUCCUCACACAAUCAUGGAGGUGAUGAACCAGUUCCUCCUCAAUGUUGUCAACAA
Sorex fumeus (smoky shrew) is the source of this 194-nucleotide small nuclear RNA. RefSeq annotates it as U2 spliceosomal RNA. The record is from RefSeq and is a predicted model, not a curated record. The transcript has a single exon. NCBI's taxonomy places the organism in Eukaryota, Metazoa, Chordata, Mammalia, Eulipotyphla, Soricidae.